This 459-nucleotide ribosomal RNA is filed under the name uncultured bacterium. Its description in RNAcentral is "partial 16S ribosomal RNA". It matches the Rfam family "Bacterial small subunit ribosomal RNA", at positions 338 to 795 of the family's 1533-position model. The record is from RNAcentral.
CCUACGGGAGGCUGCAGUGAGGAAUAUUGGUCAAUGGGCGAGAGCCUGAACCAGCCAAGUCGCGUGAGGGAAGACGGUCCUACGGAUUGUAAACCUCUUUUGUCAGGGAGCAAGGAGCGCCACGAGUGGUGCGGCGAGAGUACCUGAAGAAAAAGCAUCGGCUAACUCCGUGCCAGCAGCCGCGGUAAUACGGAGGUCCGGGCGUUAUCCGGAUUUAUUGGGUUUAAAGGGAGCGUAGGCCGCAUGUCAAGCGUGCUGUGAAAUGUCCGGGCUCAACCCGGGCCUUGCAGCGCGAACUGGCGUGCUUGAGUCCGCGGAAAGCAGGCGGAAUUCGUCGUGUAGCGGUGAAAUGCUUAGAUAUGACGAAGAACCCCGAUUGCGAAGGCAGCAUGCCGGCUCCACACUGACGCUGAGGCACGAAAGCGUGGGUAUCGAACAGGAUUAGAUACCCGAGUAGUC